Molecule: ribosomal RNA, 230 nt
Filed under: uncultured bacterium
Lineage: Bacteria
Description: partial 16S ribosomal RNA
Rfam family: Bacterial small subunit ribosomal RNA
Source: RNAcentral
UCUGCCUUGGAGUGGGGAAUAACGGCUGGAAACAGCCGCUAAUACCGCAUGAUACAGCUGGGAGGCAUCUCCCUGGCUGUCAAAGAUUUAUCGCUCUGAGAUGAGCUCGCGUCUGAUUAGCUAGUUGGCGGGGUAACGGCCCACCAAGGCGACGAUCAGUAGCCGGACUGAGAGGUUGGCCGGCCACAUUGGGACUGAGACACGGCCCAGACUCCUACGGGAGGCAGCAG